This 608-nucleotide long non-coding RNA is filed under the name Homo sapiens (human). Its description in RNAcentral is "non-protein coding lnc-AKT1S1-3:1". Lineage: Eukaryota; Metazoa; Chordata; Mammalia; Primates; Hominidae. The record is from RNAcentral.
GUUGUCGCAGUGGGAUUCCCUGGGGCCGGGAAGUCCACCUUUCUCAAGAAGCACCUCGUGUCGGCCGGAUAUGUCCACGUGAACAGGGACACGCUAGGCUCCUGGCAGCGCUGUGUGACCACGUGUGAGACAGCCCUGAAGCAAGGGAAACGGGUCGCCAUCGACAACACAAACCCAGACGCCGCGAGCCGCGCCAGGUAGCGUGACCGCGGGGCCGUAGGUGGCCUGCGGCGGGGUGGGCGGGGCCUGCACAUCCAGCUCCUUCCCCCACAGGUACGUCCAGUGUGCCCGAGCCGCGGGCGUCCCCUGCCGCUGCUUCCUCUUCACCGCCACUCUGGAGCAGGCGCGCCACAACAACCGGGUGAGCCCGCUCAGCCCGGACACCCCCCGGGCUGCACCCCCUGACCCCCCUCCUCCCCUGACCCCUGGGCCUGCCGCCCCUCUGAUGUUCCCCACAGUUUCGAGAGAUGACGGACUCCUCUCAUAUCCCCGUGUCAGACAUGGUCAUGUAUGGCUACAGGAAGCAGUUCGAGGCCCCAACGCUGGCUGAAGGCUUCUCUGCCAUCCUGGAGAUCCCGUUCCGGCUAUGGGUGGAGCCGAGGCUGGGG